Molecule: ribosomal RNA, 429 nt
Filed under: Gemmatimonadota bacterium
Lineage: Bacteria; Pseudomonadati; Gemmatimonadota
Description: Gemmatimonadetes bacterium partial 16S ribosomal RNA
Rfam family: Bacterial small subunit ribosomal RNA
Source: RNAcentral
UAGGGAAUCUUCGGCAAUGGACGAAAGUCUGACCGAGCAACGCCGCGUGAGUGAAGAAGGUUUUCGGAUCGUAAAACUCUGUUGUUAGAGAAGAACAAGGACGUUAGUAACUGAACGUCCCCUGACGGUAUCUAACCAGAAAGCCACGGCUAACUACGUGCCAGCAGCCGCGGUAAUACGUAGGUGGCAAGCGUUGUCCGGAUUUAUUGGGCGUAAAGCGAGCGCAGGCGGUUUCUUAAGUCUGGUGUGAAAGCCCCCGGCUCAACCGGGGAGGGUCAUUAGAAACUGGGAGACUGGAGUGCAGAAGAGGAGAGUGGAAUUCCAUGAGUGGCGGUGAAAUGCGUAGAUAUAUGGAGGAACACCAGUGGCGAAGGCGGCUCUCUGGUCUGUAACUGACGCUGAGGCUCGAAAGCGUGGGGAGCAAACAGG